UACGGAGGGUGCAAGCGUUAAUCGGAAUUACUGGGCGUAAAGCGCGCGUAGGCGGCUUAUCAAGUCAGUUGUGAAAUCCCUAGGCUUAACCAAGGAAUUGCAUUUGAAACUGAUAAGCUAGAGUCUCAUAGAGGGAGGUAGAAUUCCAGGUGUAGCGGUGAAAUGCGUAGAUAUCUGGAGGAAUACCAGUGGCGAAAGCGGCCUCCUGGAUGAAGACUGACGCUCAGGUGCGAAAGCGUGGGGAGCAAACAGG
This 253-nucleotide ribosomal RNA is filed under the name uncultured bacterium. RNAcentral's name for it is "partial 16S ribosomal RNA". It matches the Rfam family "Bacterial small subunit ribosomal RNA", at positions 524 to 776 of the family's 1533-position model. The record is from RNAcentral.